Molecule: long non-coding RNA, 2330 nt
Organism: Helianthus annuus (common sunflower)
Lineage: Eukaryota; Viridiplantae; Streptophyta; Magnoliopsida; Asterales; Asteraceae
Exons: 11
Source: RefSeq, a predicted model, not a curated record
AGAUUUGAGAUUAUUAGUGUUUGUUUCCUCCAUCAUCAAUCAAUCACGUUUAGGGUUUCUGCGUUAUCAAUGAAUCGUUCUCUGCCUCUCAUUCGUUCCUCUAUGAAUCCGACUCUGAUCUUCGUCAUAAAGGUUAGAUUUUGUCAAUGAAUCAAGUAUCGUUCUUGAUAUUUUAGAUUUUAUAACUAAUAAUUUCUUUUGUUUUGUAUAUCUCAUCUGAAAUCCGACUUCACAUCAAUCUUCAAUCUUCAAUCUUCGACUCCCUCAUUCGCAUUCUCUCUGGAGAAACCCUAGCCGCCUCCUUCAGCUAGACCAUCGGUUCUCAUCUUCCUCUUCAAGGUUUCUGUCUUCCAUUCAUACAUCUUUCUCUCUUCUCCGGCUCUAAAGUUCACCCAUUAGGGUUGGCUUGAAGAUGGUGUUGAACAGGGCGAACUUUCCGAUUUUUCGAUGGUUUGACGUCUCAGCUGGACUCUAUUUUACUUCAACCAUAGCUGAAUUAAUUGCCGUGGAGAAAGACAACGCAUUCAUUGAGGGUUACAUGUCUUCAUCUAAAAUGAUAUACAGAUGGCGGUGGAGAAAGUCGAUAAUUUUUCUAGGGUUUACUUUGAUUCAUGGAGCACGACUGGAAGAGUUGUCUCACAAAAGCUGUAGAAAAAUCUCAGCCAUGAGAGUAUCAUCACAUGACAAAGUUCGAGCUUUGACAUGGCAUUGGAGGAGGGAACCAGUAAGUGAAAAUGAAUGUCGCGGACGAGAACAGUGCAAGGAGAUGCUACAGGAAUCACUGUAACUGAGAAUAGGGAAUAGUGGAAGUCUUCUUCAUCUGAUAUGGUCGAGUGUGCUGAUUAGUUGAAGCGAUUACAUUAGUAUUCAAAGAAUGUAUAAAAUAUCAACAAAAAGAAUAGGUUAGUGGGGAGAUCAUGUCAUUUUACAAGUGGCUGCUGAUAGGUUGAUGAUAAUAUAGCCAUGGUUUAGAGAACGGCCAACUGCUAAGUGGGAUGUUGGAUUCGCUUUCACCUGAGCAAGUAAUUCAGUGUCAACCAGAGGAUGGCCGCAUUGCCCUUUGUCGUCUUCAGUCGCCAACGAAAACCGCCCUGCUCGAUUGGGCCAUCAAUCUGAACGCUGAUGCUAUCUAACACGAGCAUCUCAAGAAGAUGAAUUCACACAAUAUUGCAAUGGUUUUCGCCCCAAAUGACUCAGGCCUCACCACGAGAAUCACAGUCCGAUGAAAAUAGUGGUCAAGGCCUGGACUCUAUCCACACGUGCAACAAAAUCUUGAUGAAAAUGAAGAGAGAGAACAAGAAUUCAUCCCUGAAGAUAAUCAUCUUUAAAAAUUAACUGCCACAGAAGGAUCUAAUGGACCCGGGUUGUGUAAUUGGCCUGUUCAAUCCCCACUCUUCCUGCCCAUUGUAUGUCGCGUACUUCGUUAGCGACUCAAGCACACCUUUGUCGCCGUUGAAGACAAAUCGAGAGUUCGCGCCAGAAAAAGAGCUAUGAGUUCCAUCAGUUUCAGGUUGUUGGUAGAGGUGUACCUACGGAGUCAGGUAAGCAACCAGAGAUUUAUUGUAUGAAGCUUUGGGCCACCUUUGAAGUUCGUGCUAAGAGCGAGUUUUGGUUAUUUAGAGUUACUUAUUUUUUGUAUUUCAGAUCCAGUGACACACGAUGGUAUAUCAAGUUUUAUGGUAUUAACCCUAAAAAAAUAUAGACAUCAUUGUUGUAGGCAUUUUGGGCUGUAAUCUGCUAGAAUAUGUAGGCAUCAUUUGUUAUGAUAUACAACACAUUGGAGUUUUUAUCGACUUGCAAGUUGGCGAACCUAAUAGUAAAGGCGGAGCUGGGGUGUUGCUUGCUUCACAUGAGCGGUAGACUGAUCAUCGAAGUCUGCAAUCUACAAUGUGAAUCCAACCCUUUCUAUCUCUCCUAUGUUAUUAUCACCACCGCUGGUGGCUGUGAGGCGGCUUUGUCAUCCAAUGCAUAGAAGAAUGGUGACAGUGUGUGUUUCUAAAACUCGAAUCAAAGGUGGCGCAAAAGCAGCUUUGACUAGCGAAUGUUAUCAAUAAUUUCUCUGCCUCAAACUGUAGUUUUUAUUAAUGAUUUAUUGCUAGAAAAAACAAAUUUUUUUUCUACUUUGGAAUGUCUAUAAUAGUAGUGGUGGUGUUUCUUUUUUCUUUUUUGUACUUCCUGAAGUAUAUUUGGAGAAACCUGAUGCUUAUAUAAUUGAUAUGCCUUAGUUGAAGUAGCUUAUAUAAAAAUUGGAGGAAAUUCGAAUAGUCUCUGGACACUUCAGCCUUGGGCAAACAAAUGGCUUGCUCUACCCCAUGAAAGCACGUAUGAGG